This 480-nucleotide ribosomal RNA is filed under the name uncultured bacterium. RNAcentral describes it as "partial 16S ribosomal RNA". It matches the Rfam family "Bacterial small subunit ribosomal RNA", at positions 30 to 507 of the family's 1533-position model. The record is from RNAcentral.
UGAACGCUGGCGGCAUGCCUUACACAUGCAAGUCGAACGGUAACAGGUCUUCGGAUGCUGACGAGUGGCGAACGGGUGAGUAAUACAUCGGAACGUGCCCAGACGUGGGGGAUAACGAGGCGAAAGCUUUGCUAAUACCGCAUACGAUCUAAGGAUGAAAGCAGGGGACCGCAAGGCCUUGCGCGUUUGGAGCGGCCGAUGGCAGAUUAGGUAGUUGGUGGGAUAAAAGCUUACCAAGCCGACGAUCUGUAGCUGGUCUGAGAGGACGACCAGCCACACUGGGACUGAGACACGGCCCAGACUCCUACGGGAGGCAGCAGUGGGGAAUUUUGGACAAAGGGCGAAAGCCUGAUCCAGCAAUGCCGCGUGCAGGAUGAAGGCCUUCGGGUUGUAAACUGCUUUUGUACGGAACGAAAAGGCUCUGGCUAAUACCUGGGGCACAUGACGGUACCGUAAGAAUAAGCACCGGCUAACUACGUG